AAAAGUCGUAACAAGGUUUCCGUAGGUGAACCUGCGGAAGGAUCAUUAUUGAAUACACAAGGACUGUCGCUGGCUAGGUUCAUUCUUAGCAUGUGCACGUCUACCACACUUUCCACACUUGUGCACCAAUUGUAGAUAACCCUUGAAAGAGGAUUCUAUGUCUUUUAUAAUCUCAUCUAAUGUAUGUCCUUAGAAUGUAACAAAAAAAUUUAUACAACUUUCAGCAACGGAUCUCUUGGUUCUCGCAUCGAUGAAGAACGCAGCGAAUUGCGAUAAGUAAUGUGAAUUGCAGAUUUUCAGUGAAUCAUCGAAUCUUUGAACGCACCUUGCGCUCCUUGGUAUUCCGAGGAGCAUGCCUGUUUGAGUGUCAUUAAAUUAUCAACCAUAGUCUUUAUUGGCUUUUGGCUUGGACUUGGGAUUUGCUGGCCUAGUCAGCUGUCCUUAAAAGCAUUAGCAAGUGAAGUAGACGGUGCACGGCCUCUGACGUGAUAAUGAUCGUCGUGGGCUGGAAGCGUCAUAAUGAAGCUUGCUUUAAUUUUGAAUUUGAAUUUGAAAUUCUAUUACCAUUUUGACCUCAAAUCAGGUAGGACUACCCGCUGAACUUAAGCAUAUCAAUAAGCGGAGGAA
This 627-nucleotide ribosomal RNA is filed under the name Leccinum caespitosum. RNAcentral's name for it is "eukaryotic LSU rRNA". The stretch from base 216 to 370 matches the Rfam family "5.8S ribosomal RNA". The record is from RNAcentral. Lineage: Eukaryota; Fungi; Basidiomycota; Agaricomycetes; Boletales; Boletaceae.